AGAUGUGAGGGUGAUCUGGCUGCGACAUCUGUCACCCCAUUGAUCACCAGGGUUGAUUUGGCUGAUCUGGCUGGCUGGCUAGACGGGUGUACCCUUCCUCCCUUGCCACUCCAUGUGCAUCCCUCCUGAGGCUGUGCUCUUGGUCAAAGAGGAUGGCCUUCCCCAAAUAGAGACUUCAGUUUAGGGUAUACAAGUAGCUAUGCUCCCCUGCUAGAACCUCCAAAUAAGCUCUAAAGGUCCUUUGCUUUCUCCUUUUUUGUGAGACUCCAUUCAAUAGUUCUUGUAAGGUGGGGUUAAUUGUGGCAAAUUCCUUUAGUUUUGGGAUAUUUGAGAAAACCUUUAUUUCUCCCUCAUAUU
Erinaceus europaeus (western European hedgehog) is the source of this 357-nucleotide unclassified non-coding RNA. Its record names the gene 7SK. It matches the Rfam family "7SK RNA". Rfam says of the family: 7SK was discovered as an abundant small nuclear RNA in the mid-70s but a possible function has only recently been suggested. Two independent studies have found that 7SK RNA binds the CDK9/cyclin T complex (known as elongation factor P-TEFb). NCBI's taxonomy places the organism in Eukaryota, Metazoa, Chordata, Mammalia, Eulipotyphla, Erinaceidae. The record is from Ensembl.